UAUUCCAAAGUGAGGGAGAAGUGAAAUGUAAAAUUGUGAAAUUCGAAAAUUAUCCAUCAAGCGAUCGUGUUAUAAUGGCCUGUCCUGCGGCUACAAAAACGAAUUUCAAUUUAACAGGCAACAAGUUAAAGGAUACAUUGAUUUUGAGGCAACAUCAACAGAAAAAAACGUACAAAAAAAAAAUGCAAUCAAAAAUUCAAAGCUGGAAAUCCAAAAUAUUACGAGCGAUCAUUAAGCGUGUGAUCGCGAUGGUAAUGAUACUUGAUUGCAGGAAAGUUAACAACAAACAAAUAUGAAAACUCUACCAAACCAACAGGUGCUAAAUAGCGUGACCAGCGUGACCCCAUUACUGUUGUGCUCACAUUUCAAUUAACUUGUUUCCGACUAGUCGCACAGCAAAGGUCCUUGCAUGGAAACAGUAGCUGCUGUGUGCCCCUGUUUGAAUUGAAAUUCAUAUAAAUUUUAUGGAAAUUAUGUGAAACAAUUUGCUUUGUUUAUAUGUCUGCAUAUGUAAAAGCGCAUUGAGCAUAAAAUUAUA
This is a long non-coding RNA of Ceratitis capitata (Mediterranean fruit fly), 538 nucleotides long. RefSeq lists it as uncharacterized. Lineage: Eukaryota; Metazoa; Arthropoda; Insecta; Diptera; Tephritidae. The transcript has 3 exons. The record is from RefSeq and is a predicted model, not a curated record.